UAAGCCUCUACUCUUAUCUUCUUCUCUCUUUUCCAUACCUUUUGCUCUCUCUCAGUUUCUCUCUAUAUCCUUAAAAUUUGUUCUGGGAGCUAUCUUGUCCUUACUUGGUUUCCAAAUGGGGAAUAGACAAAAGAUUGUUGAGGUGUCUGAUGUUGUAGCUUUACAAUAGGUUCAUGGGCAGAUUACAGAUCUUUAUGACUUUUAAUCCAAAAGCUUUCACAGCUGAUCAGUAGAUUUGCUAUUGCACCGCAUGAGAGUUUGAAGCCAUUACAUGGCAAGUGGGAACUGAAGUAUUGCGGAGAUCAUCUUUUCUUCAUCUGUUUUGGUAUCUUAGUAUGUUUUUGGCCUUCUAGGUAUAAAUAGGGAUGGCUAAUGUGCAUUGGACACAUUUAUGGACAAGUUUAUGUUUUCAGCCUUUCGAUAUGUGAGCAGGGUUAGUAUGUGUUAAUGUUGGAAUUAACAUACUACUGAUGGAAUGAAUUUAUUUUGGAAUAAAUGGAUGUGUUUCUAGA
This is a long non-coding RNA of Rosa rugosa (rugosa rose), 512 nucleotides long. RefSeq lists it as uncharacterized. The transcript is spliced from 2 exons. The record is from RefSeq and is a predicted model, not a curated record. Lineage: Eukaryota; Viridiplantae; Streptophyta; Magnoliopsida; Rosales; Rosaceae.